GAUGUAGAAUACUAGAGCAGAGUAGAACAAUCUACCUUUUAAGAAAGGGCAUUUAUUGUAAAUGUAAUAAGAUGAUUAGAGGUAGGCGUUUUGAGAGCGGCUAGGGACGGUAUCAUGUGUGUCCCAUGCUCAUUCUUUCCUUUUGCUCCAACCUCUAGCACGUUUAGUUUUUAUCCUUAGGUUUGAUGCUUUUCCAUCACCAAAUGGUUGCCAUACGCACAGAGAGUGAAUCUCAGCAAGGUGUUGUAUGAGUACAGAAGUAGGGAGUCUAUCAAGACGGCAAGAGAAGCCUGGUGGUGGGUAUUAUGGAGGGGAUGCAUGGAGCACUGGGUAUGGUGCAUAAGCAAUGAUUUCUGAUACAAUGAAAAUAAAUUUAAAAAAUUAAAAAAAAAUUUAAAAAAGAAAAAUAAAAGUUGAAAUAGUCACUGUAGAAAAAUAAAAUAAAAUAAAAAAUGUAUAAUACCAUAAAAAAAAGAGAGAGAGAGAAGGCUCUUCUCACAUACUUGUCUUCUUCUUCUUCUUCUUUUUUUUAAAGAUUUUAUUUAUUUAUUUGACAGAGAGAGAUCACAAGUAGGCAGCGAAGUAGGGGAGCGGGAAAGCAGGCCCCCCGCUAAGCAGAGAGCCUGAUGCAGGGCUCUAUCCCAGGACUCUGGGAUCAUGACCCCAGCCAAAGACAGAGGCUUAACCCACUGAGCCAGCCAGGGGCCCCACUUGUCUUCUUUUACACAAGAACAAAAAUCUGUCCCCAGAGUCCCUCUACUUCACAUCUCUUUGGGCAGAAAUGGAUCUCAUAGCCUCUCUGAGCAGCAAGGGUGGCAGGAAAAGGGAGUAUUUUGCUUUUUCAGUAUCUACAUUCAGAGAUGGGCAAGGAGAAGGGAUAGGAAAUGACUGACCAAAGUGUUUUUCAACACUAACAAGUUCUUUUUCUUUCUUUCCUUUCUAUUCUGCUCACAGAAGUCAUUGCCUGCCAACAGCCUACCACAGUCUUGGGAGUGAACUCCAACAAAGUUACCAUCAUGACUGCAGAUGCAUCCCAUCAAGAUGGAAAAAUGGGCUCCAAAUGCUGUUGCGCUAUUCCUGAAAGAAUGAUGCUGCCGAGUGCUACUGCGACCCCCGUCUUGCUGUAAAGCCUCUUGCUGCCCCACGUCUUAUCCUGUUAAGCAUCGUGAGAGGAGGCAGCUGGGAACAAGGUGCUCAUGGCAGAAGAGUUUUUGAAAAGCUCCCGCUGCCAGUGUCUCCCCGCCCACACGGUCCCCACCGGCUGUCGGACCGCGGAGGUGCGGACGGUCCGUAUGAGGUUCGCGGCCUCGGGGCCUCGGACUCUGCCGCCCCUUUUCCCUGUCUUCUGCUGCACACCUUCCCUGGCUCUCUGGCCCGUCUGGCACACCGUCUGUUUGGUAAAACCAUGGGAUUUAAGGUGGCUCUCGCUCCCCAACCCAGGCACUAAGUUUGGUGGUGGAAAUGCGUCUGCGCAUCAAGUAAGUUAGAGUCUGGAAGGUGUCAUAGUGAUGGCUUCUGCGCAUAAAUACCCGAGAAAACCAGAGAUGCGUUCGUGGUAAGGAAGCAACAGACCCGGACAGCUUGGGGUGAAUGGAUUUCCAUGUGUGUGGCAGGGUCCGGGGGCCACUGUAACAAGGCACCGCACACCGGGGGGCUUCAGACAGCUGAAACGCCCGCUCUUACCGGAGGCGGGAAGUCCAAGAUCAAAGUGGUUCAGCAGGACUGGUUCUCUCGGGGCUCUGAGAGAGAGUCUGCUGGGGCCUCUCGAGCUUCUGCUGGUGGCGGCCAGUCCUUGGCUUGUGCACACAUCCUCCGAUUUCUGCUUCCGUUGUCUCACGGAGCCUUCUCUGCAUGUCCGUGUCCAAAUUUCGCUCUUCUUAUAAGGACCCCAGUUACUGGAUGAGGGCCCUCUAGACUCUAGUACGACAUCGUCUGGAUUGGAUUGUAUCUGUAAUGACCCUAUUUCCAAGUAAGGUCACACUCACUGGAGGUAGGACUUGAACAUCACUUUUUGGGGGACCCAGCACCACCUAGGACAUGGUGAUCUCCACACCUGUCUGUAUUUGCGGCUGCCCUCGGCCCUUCUCUGUCCUCAGCAUCCGCGCUCGUUGGCACUGUGGACACUUGGCUCAGACAACUCCUGGCUGUGGGACUGUCCUGGGCUUUACAGGGGCCUGUCAGCCUCCCUGGCCUAGACUGUUGGCUGCAGCCUCCCCUCAGCUUGCUGCGAUGACCACAGAUGUCUCCAGACAUCACCAAGUGUCCCCGAGGGGACAAGAUCGCCACGGUCGAGAAGCCUUGUGUCACAGUGAUUGUGGUGUUACCAAAUUCCAUGGAGAUUUUAAGACUUACUCUCAUAUGUAUUUACUACUAUGUUAUUUAGUACUGAAAGAUGCAUGAUUCUACUAUCUUUUUCUAGCAUUGCCAAAUAACUCUGUGACUUUUUAAAGUGGAAUUUCAUAUUACCUUUUAUUAAUAUUACUAUUCUUGAGUCUUCUGUUUGUAUUUCCCUGAUCAAUGAUUAUCCGUCCUUUCAAAUUAUUUAUAUUGUUCCUAGUUCAACAUUUCUACAACCGUCACUAUAAACUUUAGAGUUCCGCUCCUCUAGGGAACCUGAGUCUGUUCUGACCAUCCUUCCCACCAAACAGAAGGGGUGUUGUGUUGUCAGUAGACAGAGAAAUUCUUUUAGCCUCGCCUUGUCUGUGCACCAAGAUUGAGCUGUGUGUAAAAAAACAAGAGAACCCUGUAUCCCAUGACUUUUUGUGCAUAACUAAUGUAUCUGUCGGAGUGUGUGAAGAACUCAGUACAUGUAGCAUUCUUCCCUUUUCAGUUCUUGGCAAAAUUUGGUGCCGUGAAAGAGAAGGAAGAUUCUUUCUAAGCCGGUGACUUGGAUGCUUGGUUUCAGAGUCAGUUUGUCCGGCAGGGGAGGGGGGUGGGCAAGACUGGGCACAGAUGGGCCCGUGGUUCAGCCCACGCGGGUCCUGCUUGCUCCUGAUUUUGUGAUCACACCACAAAGCUUGAGAGGACCUAGCCUCUAGAAAUGAGCAGAGCUUCCCGGUUCUGCAAGGACUUCUGAAAAGCUGCUUUUGUUUCUGGAAUGCCCUGACAGAGCAUCCUCUGCAAACAAACCUUCAGAAUCCUUGAGAAGAGAGCAGGAAGUUACAGUGUACCAUUGGCUAUCUCUAACAGGACCUGACAGAUUCUUGAGGCUUUGAAAUGCGAAGAGAACGGCAAACAUUUGGUCACCUAGUGUCGCUUGGGUAAUGAACUGGAGGGGCCUUUCCUGGUCCACCCAAAGGUCCACCCCCUCUCCUGGCCACCCGCUCAUCUGUCAUCUUGCUCAACUGUCGCCUGCACAAAGCCUUUCUCUCCCCUCCCAGGCAGGGCUAGCGGCUUCCUCUUCUUCGGGGUUCCCCAGCCCUUUGUGCCUCUGAUAUUUAGAACUGACUGAGUUGUUCUGUAACGGUUUGUUUAUGUGUUUGUCUCUCCUGGGAGGUGAUGAGCUCCUUGCAGCCAGGGACGAGGUCCCCAUCGUUUUCAUACACUCAUCUCCUCUGUGGAAUAAACCUUGGCUCUCUUUCCACA
Molecule: long non-coding RNA, 3585 nt
Organism: Mustela lutreola (European mink)
Lineage: Eukaryota; Metazoa; Chordata; Mammalia; Carnivora; Mustelidae
Exons: 2
Source: RefSeq, a predicted model, not a curated record